Molecule: ribosomal RNA, 496 nt
Filed under: uncultured bacterium
Lineage: Bacteria
Description: bacterial SSU rRNA
Rfam family: Bacterial small subunit ribosomal RNA
Source: RNAcentral
CUGGCGGCGUGCCUAACACAUGCAAGUCGAACGGAAGCUUAACGCUGACGAGACUCGGUCAAAUCUGUUAAGCUUAGUGGCGGACGGGUGAGUAACGCGUGGGCAACCUGCCUCAUACUGGGGGAUAACAGUUGGAAACGACUGUUAAUACCGCAUAAGCGCACAGAGUCGCAUGACUCAGUGUGAAAAACUCCGGUGGUAUGAGAUGGGCCCGCGUCAGAUUAGCCAGUUGGCGGGGUAACGGCCCACCAAAGCGACGAUCUGUAGCCGGACUGAGAGGUCGGACGGCCACAUUGGGACUGAGACACGGCCCAAACUCCUACGGGAGGCAGCAGUGGGGGAUAUUGCACAAUGGAGGAAACUCUGAUGCAGCGACGCCGCGUGAAGUGAAGAAGUAUUUCGGUAUGUAAAGCUCUAUCAGCAGGGAAGAAAGGCUCGCAAGAGAGAUGACGGUACCUGACUAAGAAGCCCCGGCUAACUACGUGCCAGCCGCCGC